This 256-nucleotide ribosomal RNA is filed under the name uncultured bacterium. Its description in RNAcentral is "partial 16S ribosomal RNA". It matches the Rfam family "Bacterial small subunit ribosomal RNA", at positions 524 to 776 of the family's 1533-position model. The record is from RNAcentral.
GACGAAGGGGGCUGGCGUUGUUCGGAAUUACUGGGCGUAAAGGGCGCGUAGGCGGUUUGUUAAGUCAGGCGUGAAAGCCCUGGGCUCAACCUGGGAUGUGCGUUUGAUACUGGCAAGCUUGAGUGCAGGAGAGGAUGGUGGAAUUCCGAGUGUAGGGGUGAAAUCCGUAGAUAUUCGGAAGAACACCAGUGGCGAAGGCGGCUGCCUGGACCUUUUUAGCUGACGCUGAGGCGCGAAAGCGUGGGGAGCGAUCCGG